AUAAGGUGAGAGAAGGUAGUAUCUCACCCCUUACAAGUGACACACAUGUCAGGACAAAUAAGCAGAUUAAGCCCAAGGCAGUGUGGAGCUCGAUAGAGGUGGCACUCCUCAAGUAAUUAAUGGUGGAGAAGGGCAGUCCAAUUGGCUUCUGUGGUGAAGCCGAUUACAGAAUAAGGUGAGAGAAGGUAGUAUCUCACCCCUUACAAAAUAAGGUGAGAGAAGGUAGUAUCUCACCCCUUACAAGUGACACACAUGUCAAGACAAAUAAGCAGAUUGACCCCAAGGCAGUGUGGAGCUCGAUAGAGGUGGCACUCCUCAAGUAAUUAAUGGUCGAGAAGGGCGGUACACCUGGCUUCUAAAGUGAGGCCGAUUACGGAAUAAGGUGAGAGAAGGUAGUAUCUCACCCCUUACAAGUGACACACAUGUCAAGACAAAUAAGCAGAUUGAGCCUAAGGCAGUGUGGAGCUCGAUAGAGGUGGCACUCCUCAAGUAAUUAAUGGUGGAGAAGGGCAGUCCAAUUGGCUUCUGUGGUGAAGCCGAUUACAGAAUAAGGUGAGAGAAGGUAGUAUCUCACCCCUUACAAGUGACA
Molecule: long non-coding RNA, 589 nt
Organism: Sebastes umbrosus (honeycomb rockfish)
Lineage: Eukaryota; Metazoa; Chordata; Actinopteri; Perciformes; Sebastidae
Exons: 2
Source: RefSeq, a predicted model, not a curated record